Zootermopsis nevadensis is the source of this 320-nucleotide non-coding RNA. The record is from RefSeq and is a predicted model, not a curated record. Lineage: Eukaryota; Metazoa; Arthropoda; Insecta; Blattodea; Termopsidae.
UUCAGUGUUUUCUGUGUUUGUGUGUGAUAAAAGUAGUUUCCAUCUGUGUGAUAUACUUGCUCAUUUUCGUUAACACUUUUCUUGUACAAGUUCGUUGCUAGUGAAUGCUUUCUACAGGAGUUUGGCAAGAAACACUAAGACAAAGAAGGUUUACAGAAUAAAACGUACGCCAUUUGUGAAAAUAAACCUUGCUUGAACAUGGCAUGUUAAUGAUAGAUGAGAUGCACGUUUUUGUUUUAAUCACUUUUAUAAAACAAACAUUGCUUUACGGACUUUACAUGUUUCCAGUAAUAACCAAGGUCGUGUGAUCUGUUGUGGGC